RNAcentral lists this ribosomal RNA (301 nucleotides) under uncultured bacterium. RNAcentral's name for it is "partial 16S ribosomal RNA". It matches the Rfam family "Bacterial small subunit ribosomal RNA", at positions 509 to 807 of the family's 1533-position model. The record is from RNAcentral.
CAGUAGCCGCGGGAAAACCGAGGGUGCAAGCGUUAAUCGGAAUUACUGGGCGUAAAGCGCGCGUAGGUGGUUUGUUAAGUUGGAUGUGAAAUCCCCGGGCUCAACCUGGGAACUGCAUCCAAAACUGGCAAGCUAGAGUAUGGUAGAGGGUGGUGGAAUUUCCUGUGUAGCGGUGAAAUGCGUAGAUAUAGGAAGGAACACCAGUGGCGAAGGCGACCACCUGGACUGAUACUGACACUGAGGUGCGAAAGCGUGGGGAGCAAACAGGAUUAGAUACCCCGGUAGUCCCUGUCUCUUAUAC